Molecule: ribosomal RNA, 506 nt
Filed under: uncultured bacterium
Lineage: Bacteria
Description: partial 16S ribosomal RNA
Rfam family: Bacterial small subunit ribosomal RNA
Source: RNAcentral
AGUGAACGCUGGCGGUAGGCCUAACACAUGCAAGUCGAACGGCAGCACAGGAGAGCUUGCUCUCUGGGUGGCGAGUGGCGGACGGGUGAGGAAUACAUCGGAAUCUACUCUGUCGUGGGGGAUAACGUAGGGAAACUUACGCUAAUACCGCAUACGACCUACGGGUGAAAGCAGGGGAUCUUCGGACCUUGCGCGAUUGAAUGAGCCGAUGUCGGAUUAGCUAGUUGGCGGGGUAAAGGCCCACCAAGGCGACGAUCCGUAGCCGGUCUGAGAGGAUGAUCAGCCACACUGGAACUGAGACACGGUCCAGACUCCUACGGGAGGCAGCAGUGGGGAAUAUUGGACAAUGGGCGCAAGCCUGAUCCAGCCAUACCGCGUGGGUGAAGAAGGCCUUCGGGUUGUAAGGCCCUUUUGUUGGGAAAGAAAUCCAACUGGCUAAUACCCGGUUGGGAUGACGGUACCCAAAGAAUAAGCACCGGCUAACUUCGUGCCAGCCGCCGCCGUAA